RNAcentral lists this ribosomal RNA (500 nucleotides) under uncultured bacterium. RNAcentral describes it as "bacterial SSU rRNA". It matches the Rfam family "Bacterial small subunit ribosomal RNA", at positions 28 to 508 of the family's 1533-position model. The record is from RNAcentral.
GAUGAACGCUAGCGGCAGGCUUAAUACAUGCAAGUUGAGGGGCAGCAUGAUAUACGCGAGUAUAUUGAUGGCGACCGGCGGACGGGUGAGUAAUAGGUAGGAGACCUACCUCAUACAGGGGGAUAGCAUAGAGAAAUCUGUGGUAAUACCCCAUGAGGUUAUAUGAAUAGAGGCAUAUAAUCAAAGCAUAAGCGAUUAUGCGGUAUGAGAGGGGCCUACUGACCAUUAGCUAGUUGGUGAGGUAAGGGCUCACCAAGGCGAAGAUGGUUAGGGGUUUUGAGAGAGAGACCCCCCACAUUGGAACUGAGAGACGGUCCAGACUCCUACGGGAGGCAGCAGUAGGGAAUAUUGGGCAAUGGGCGAAAGCCUGACCCAGCCAUGCCGCGUGAAGGAAGACGGCCUUUAUGGGUUGUAAACUUCUUUACUACGCGAAUAGAGGUUAGUACGAGAUACUAAUAGGAAGGUAGUGUAAGUAAAAAGCAACCGGCUAAACUCCGUCG